CAAUGAAUUUAAGAUUUAUAUAUAAAAUAAAAAUUUUUAUUAGAA
RNAcentral lists this transfer RNA (45 nucleotides) under Jembra pallida. Its description in RNAcentral is "partial tRNA-Leu". The record is from RNAcentral. Lineage: Eukaryota; Metazoa; Arthropoda; Insecta; Hemiptera; Aphrophoridae.